CUCCAUGAUUGCGGGUUGGCAGA
RNAcentral lists this non-coding RNA (23 nucleotides) under Arabidopsis thaliana (thale cress). The record is from RNAcentral. Lineage: Eukaryota; Viridiplantae; Streptophyta; Magnoliopsida; Brassicales; Brassicaceae.